UCCCUCUCAGGAUCGCACCUGGAGAGUUUCCAGCACUCUAUCGGUCUCGGCUUUGGAAAGGAGAGUCAAGCAGAGGCAGACCCAUUCCAUUCCUAGCUUGGACAGUGGCUGGUGCGUGGAAUGCAAUCUGCUACAAGU
Ornithorhynchus anatinus (platypus) is the source of this 138-nucleotide small nucleolar RNA. The record is from RefSeq and is a predicted model, not a curated record. Lineage: Eukaryota; Metazoa; Chordata; Mammalia; Monotremata; Ornithorhynchidae.